UUGAACGCUGGCGGCAGGCCUAACACAUGCAAGUCGAGCGGAUGAAGGGAGCUUGCUCCUGGAUUCAGCGGCGGACGGGUGAGUAAUGCCUAGGAAUCUGCCUGGUAGUGGGGGAUAACGUCCGGAAACGGGCGCUAAUACCGCAUACGUCCUGAGGGAGAAAGUGGGGGAUCUUCGGACCUCACGCUCUCAGAUGAGCCUAGGUCGGAUUAGCUAGUUGGUGGGGUAAAGGCCUACCAAGGCGACGAUCCGUAACUGGUCUGAGAGGAUGAUCAGUCACACUGGAACUGAGACACGGUCCAGACUCCUACGGGAGGCAGCAGUGGGGAAUAUUGGACAAUGGGCGAAAGCCUGAUCCAGCCAUGCCGCGUGUGUGAAGAAGGUCUUCGGAUUGUAAAGCACUUUAAGUUGGGAGGAAGGGCAGUAAGUUAAUACCUUGCUGUUUUGACGUUACCAACAGAAUAAGCACCGGCUAACUUCGCG
RNAcentral lists this ribosomal RNA (483 nucleotides) under uncultured bacterium. RNAcentral's name for it is "partial 16S ribosomal RNA". It matches the Rfam family "Bacterial small subunit ribosomal RNA", at positions 30 to 507 of the family's 1533-position model. The record is from RNAcentral.